RNAcentral lists this long non-coding RNA (464 nucleotides) under Hermetia illucens (black soldier fly). RNAcentral describes it as "uncharacterized LOC119653521, transcript variant X2". The record is from RNAcentral. Lineage: Eukaryota; Metazoa; Arthropoda; Insecta; Diptera; Stratiomyidae.
AUGAGCCUGACUCCAUCGCUCAUGAAAGGAUAAAAAGGUCCUGGCUUGUGCCAAGUAGACACCUGUCAUUCAUUUCAAUGAGUGCGAAACUUAUUCAAUAGUUCUGGCGUUUUGGGCGUUUAUUAUCCGAUUGGAAAAAAGGAAAACUUCACGCUGAAUUCGCAGAGAAUUCUUUGCGAUCUUGGAUGUCAGCCACAAUCAACUAGCAGGAACUAGCAUAAAAGGCCUUUUGGACCGGGGUUCGUCAAAAGUAACUUUCUUUGGUGUUCUUAUCAACUUCUGUACAAAUAGUCAAAAAUAACUAUAACAUCACGUAAGCCGAAGAGGGAGUAUGAAUAAGUUCAGUUAGGGCAGGUGACGUAUUUAUAAAAUCGUAUCAUAGUGUGGACACCCUGUCAAACAAUCAACUUAAAUUAUGCAAAAUCACAUAGAUCGCAAUUACAAUCUAAAUUGUUAGUAAUGAA